UACAGAGGGUGUAAACGUUGUUCGGAAUUACUGGGCGUAAAGCGCGUGCAGGCGGCCUUGCAAGUCAGACGUGAAAUCCCUCGGCUUAACCGGGGAACUGCGUCUGAUACUGGAUGGCUUGAGAUUGGGAGAGGGAUGCGGAAUUCCAGGUGUAGCGGUGAAAUGCGUAGAUAUCUGGAGGAACACCGGUGGCGAAGGCGACAUCCUGGACCAACACUGACGCUGAGGAGCGAAAGCCAGGGGAGCAAACGGG
This 253-nucleotide ribosomal RNA is filed under the name uncultured bacterium. RNAcentral describes it as "partial 16S ribosomal RNA". It matches the Rfam family "Bacterial small subunit ribosomal RNA", at positions 524 to 776 of the family's 1533-position model. The record is from RNAcentral.